GACGAACGCUGGCGGCGUGCCUAAUACAUGCAAGUAGAACGCUGAAGAGAGGAGCUUGCUCUUCUUGGAUGAGUUGCGAACGGGUGAGUAACGCGUAGGUAACCUGCCUUGUAGCGGGGGAUAACUAUUGGAAACGAUAGCUAAUACCGCAUAACAAUGGAUGACACAUGUCAUUUAUUUGAAAGGGGCAAUUGCUCCACUACAAGAUGGACCUGCGUUGUAUUAGCUAGUAGGUGAGGUAAUGGCUCACCUAGGCGACGAUACAUAGCCGACCUGAGAGGGUGGUCGGCCACACUGGGACUGGGGCACGGCCCAGACUCCUACGGGAGGCAGCAGUAGGGGAUCUUCGGCAAUGGGGGCAAACCUGACCGAGCAACGCCGCGUGAGUGGAGGAAGUUUUCGGAUCGUAAAGCUCUGUUGUAAGUCAAGGACGGGUGUGAGAGUGGAAAGUUCACGCUGUGACGGUAGCUUACCAGAAAGGGACGGCUAACUACGUG
RNAcentral lists this ribosomal RNA (497 nucleotides) under uncultured bacterium. RNAcentral's name for it is "partial 16S ribosomal RNA". It matches the Rfam family "Bacterial small subunit ribosomal RNA", at positions 28 to 507 of the family's 1533-position model. The record is from RNAcentral.